UACGUAGGGAGCAAGCGUUGUUCGGAUUUACUGGGCGUAAAGGGCGCGUAGGCGGCAAUUCAAGUCAUCUGUGAAAUCUCCGGGCUUAACUCGGAACGGUCAGAUGAUACUGUUUUGCUAGAGUGCAGAAGGGGCAAUCGGAAUUCUUGGUGUAGCGGUGAAAUGCGUAGAUAUCAAGAGGAACACCUGAGGUGAAGACGGGUUGCUGGGCUGACACUGACGCUGAGGCGCGAAAGCCAGGGGAGCAAACGGG
This 253-nucleotide ribosomal RNA is filed under the name uncultured bacterium. RNAcentral's name for it is "partial 16S ribosomal RNA". It matches the Rfam family "Bacterial small subunit ribosomal RNA", at positions 524 to 776 of the family's 1533-position model. The record is from RNAcentral.